Long non-coding RNA from Trifolium pratense (red clover), 1390 nucleotides. RefSeq lists it as uncharacterized. The record is from RefSeq and is a predicted model, not a curated record. The transcript has 5 exons. Lineage: Eukaryota; Viridiplantae; Streptophyta; Magnoliopsida; Fabales; Fabaceae.
UUCUCACCAAACACAUCUUACGCGAUAUCACCAAACACCAUCUUCUCCAAAUCGAUCGAACCCAGCUGCAACCCCAAAUCGACUCUCCGCCGUCUCCUCCAAGCACCGCCGUCUCCCUCUCUCACUCUCAGCCGUCCUCUCUCUCUCACUCUCAUCCGUCCUCUCUCUCACUCGUAAUCUCCAACCCUAGCUCUAAAUCAAACCUUCUCUCACUCGUAAGGGAAACGCAACAUCGCAAACCGUCAACUCAUCCUUCAACCGUGACGAUCCCGAUAUCAAUUGGCGAUUCUCCCUAAAUCUCAAACCCUAGUAUGGAUUCGUCCCCAAAUCCUUAACCCAGUGUCAAUUCAUCCCCAAAUUCCAGACAUCAGUUCGCGCAAAAUCUCUUGAAGAAUUGGUACCACCAUCGAAGGUUCAUUCUUCCACUUCAACCGAUUUCGUCGAUGCCGAUUCGCCGAUUCUUCGUUCGUCAAAGUCUAUCCUCUGCUAUUUAGUUUGGAAGUGAUGUUGGUGAAGCCUUGGAACCACAACGAAAGCUUCAGUUUGGAGUGUUUGAAUGUGACAUGCUAAAGUGUGAGGGAGUUAUAGAAGAGUUUCUUUUAGAAGUAUAUUUUGGAAUGAAAGUGAGUUGGAGAUGAUUGGUCAAAGUUCAGAUUAUCAGAAAACUAUUUACCAAAAGUCUCAAAUGCAAAAGGACUUUUUGGCCAUCAGGCCUAAUUAUUCAAGAAGUGGUGUUCAUGAUUUUACUAUGGCUUCAAGAAAAGCUGAAGAAACAAUGUGGUUAGUUGUAUCAGUUGAGGAUGCGUACAAUUUCAUGAUGAAUUGGCUUACAAAGGCUCCCACAGUUUAUGGGAUUUUUCAUAGCAAGAGAAAGCUAUGUUGGUAAGGGUAAGUGUUUAAUUUGAAUUCGGUUAGUAUGUUUUUUAGAAUUGUUUAUGCUCUGCGUAGUAUUUAAACUUCAGAUUGAAGGAGUACCGAUAUGUGUCGGCGAUACAACACCUACACCGUUAAUGGUUAUAUUGAAUCACUUUUAUUUUCUUUUAUAAUGCUUUGUUUUAUAUGCUAGCUUGUUUUAGGACAUUGAUGCAGAAGACUUUGGAUACUCUAGGUUAUAGACUUUGGAUACUCUAGGAUAUAGAUUGAUGCAGGUAAUUUCGAUUUCUGCUUUCCCAUGGAUUGUUCUUCGAGUGUGCCUGUUUUCAGAUGUUAUUACUUGCUUGCUAUGUUCUAAGGAGCUGUAUGAUUUGCGAGACCGCUGGGCAACUUGUUUUCUUGACCUAUAUAAUCCUGAGGUAGAUUAUGAUGAUGCCGAUGAGAAAUAUUAGGAGCUAGCUAGCUAGGUUUGUGUGAAGUUACAAUGGAUUAGUAUUAAUUAUGAUGAUGUUUUGAU